RNAcentral lists this ribosomal RNA (497 nucleotides) under uncultured bacterium. RNAcentral describes it as "partial 16S ribosomal RNA". It matches the Rfam family "Bacterial small subunit ribosomal RNA", at positions 28 to 507 of the family's 1533-position model. The record is from RNAcentral.
GACGAACGCUGGCGGCGUGCCUAAUACAUGCAAGUUGAGCGCUGAAGGUUGGUACUUGUACCAACUGGAUGAGCAGCGAACGGGUGAGUAACGCGUGGGGAAUCUGCCUUUGAGCGGGGGACAACAUUUGGAAACGAAUGCUAAUACCGCAUAAAAACUUUAAACACAAGGUUUAAGUUUGAAAGAUGCAAUUGCAUCACUCAAAGAUGAUCCCGCGUUGUAUUAGCUAGUUGGUGAGGUAAAGGCUCACCAAGGCGAUGAUACAUAGCCGACCUGAGAGGGUGAUCGGCCACAUUGGGACUGAGACACGGCACAAACUCCUACGGGAGGCAGCAGUAGGGAAUCUUCGGCAAUAGACGAAAGUCUGACCGAGCAACGCCGCGUGAGUGAAGAAGGUUUUCGGAUCGUAAAACUCUGUUGGUAGAGAAGAACGUUGGUGAGAGUGGAAAGCUCAUCAAGUGACGGUAACUACCCAGAAAGGGACGGCUAACUACGUG